GACGAACGCUGGCGGCGUGCUUAACACAUGCAAGUCGAACGGUGAAAGGGAGCUUGCUCCCUGGAUCAGUGGCGAACGGGUGAGUAACACGUGGGCAACCUGCCCCAGACUUCGGGAUAACGCUUCGAAAGAGGUGCUAAUACCGGAUACGAACUCCUUGGGCAUCCUUGGAGUUGGAAAGUUUUUCGGUCUGGGAUGGGCCCGCGGCCUAUCAGCUUGUUGGUGAGGUAACGGCUCACCAAGGCGACGACGGGUAGCCGGCCUGAGAGGGCGACCGGCCACACUGGGACUGAGACACGGCCCAGACGCCUACGGGAGGCAGCAGUGGGGAAUAUUGCGCAAGGGGCGAAAGCCUGACGCAGCAGCGCCGCGUGAGGGAUGACGGCCUUCGGGUUGUAAACCUCUUUCAGCAGGGAAGAAGCGAAAGUGACGGUACCUGCAGAAGAAGCACCGGCUAACUACGUGCCAGCAGCCGCAGUAA
This 481-nucleotide ribosomal RNA is filed under the name uncultured bacterium. RNAcentral describes it as "partial 16S ribosomal RNA". It matches the Rfam family "Bacterial small subunit ribosomal RNA", at positions 28 to 523 of the family's 1533-position model. The record is from RNAcentral.